RNAcentral lists this non-coding RNA (122 nucleotides) under Paraburkholderia phenazinium. RNAcentral's name for it is "Burkholderia phenazinium Burkholderia RNA 11". It matches the Rfam family "Burkholderia RNA 11". Rfam says of the family: Co-purified with Hfq, expression confirmed by Northern blot. Predicted target marZ. Lineage: Bacteria; Pseudomonadati; Pseudomonadota; Betaproteobacteria; Burkholderiales; Burkholderiaceae. The record is from Rfam by way of RNAcentral.
GCAAUCUGAAGAUCGCCCGCGAAAAUCGCACCGUGUUUCUGAGCUUGCUGGGCAUCUCGUGGCUGUGGUUCGUCGGCGCCACCUUUCUGUCGUCGUUUUUCAGCUUCGCGAAGAAUGUGCUG